RNAcentral lists this ribosomal RNA (254 nucleotides) under uncultured bacterium. Its description in RNAcentral is "partial 16S ribosomal RNA". It matches the Rfam family "Bacterial small subunit ribosomal RNA", at positions 524 to 776 of the family's 1533-position model. The record is from RNAcentral.
UACAGAGGUCCCCAAGCGUUGUUCGGAUUCACUGGGCGUAAAGGGUGCGUAGGCGGUCGGGUAAGUCUGAUGUGAAAUCUCACAGCUUAACUGUGAAACUGCAUUGGAUACUAUUCGGCUAGAGAGUUGGAGGGGGGACUGGAAUUCUUGGUGUAGCAGUGAAAUGCGUAGAUAUCAAGAGGAACACCAGUGGCGAAGGCGAGUCCCUGGACAACUUCUGACGCUGAGGCACGAAAGCUAGGGGAGCAAACAGG